This 1018-nucleotide long non-coding RNA is filed under the name Brassica rapa (field mustard). RNAcentral describes it as "long non-coding RNA (BRAP_LNC004733)". The record is from RNAcentral. Lineage: Eukaryota; Viridiplantae; Streptophyta; Magnoliopsida; Brassicales; Brassicaceae.
AAAGAUAGUUUUAUACUUUAAUAUUACUAAUUUUCGUAAAUUAUAAAUAAUAUGUAAACAUACAGCAUAAAAAUAGAAAAACUACAUUAAACAUAUGUAAGAUUACCAUUUUUCACUUGAAAAAAAGACGGCUUAUCUCCAUAAUGUAACAUUACCAUUUUAUAAAAAAAACAAAAAACAUUAUAUAUAAUUUCAAAAAUAAUAAAUAUAUGUAAACAUACAACAUAAAAAAUGGAAAUAUUACAUUAAACAUAUGUAAGAUUACCAUUUUACAUUUUUAAUUUUUAAAAAAAUAAUAUGUAAACAUACAACAUAAAAAAUAGAAAAACUACAUUAAACAUAUGUAAGAUUACCAUUUUUCACUAAAAAAAGACGGUUUAUCUCCAAUUUAAAAGGGACCUUUUGAGGCUCCAUAGAGCGUCCACAUCAGCAAAAAAAACUUCUCCCAAAAUAUGACACGUAGCAUAAAAGAUAGUUUUAUACUUUAAUAUUACUAAUUUUCGUAAAUUAUAAAUAAUAUGUAAACAUACAGCAUAAAAAUAGAAAAACUACAUUAAACAUAUGUAAGAUUACCAUUUUUCACUUGAAAAAAAGACGGCUUAUCUCCAUAAUGUAACAUUACCAUUUUAUAAAAAAACAAAAAACAUUAUAUAUAAUUUCAAAAAUAAUAAAUAUAUGUAAACAUACAACAUAAAAAAUGGAAAUAUUACAUUAAACAUAUGUAAGAUUACCAUUUUACAUUUUUAAUUUUUAAAAAAAUAAUAUGUAAACAUACAACAUAAAAAAUAGAAAAACUACAUUAAACAUAUGUAAGAUUACCAUUUUUCACUAAAAAAAGACGGUUUAUCUCCAAUUUUAAAUAUAUAUAAAAAUAAAUAAUAAGUAAAUAAUAUAAAUAUAUAAAUAUACGAAUUAUAUAUACAAUAAUAAGUACAUGCACAAUUUUUAAAAAAUGGAAAGAGUACAUUAAAUAUUAAACAUCUAUCUUAAAAUGUAAAAUAUAGAUAUUAAGUAAAUA